Long non-coding RNA from Entelurus aequoreus (snake pipefish), 2163 nucleotides. RefSeq lists it as uncharacterized. NCBI's taxonomy places the organism in Eukaryota, Metazoa, Chordata, Actinopteri, Syngnathiformes, Syngnathidae. The record is from RefSeq and is a predicted model, not a curated record. The transcript is spliced from 3 exons.
UAGAUCCGCCUCUAUAAAUUGUAAGAUCAGACAGCGGAUCCUGAGCAGACCCGUGUCUGAUUCAUGUACGCGGACGCGGAAAACUUAGGCGGCGCACGCCGGUUUAGUUUAUAGGCCCAGCCUACGCGCGCUGAGCCGACCAAUGUCUGCACCCGCAGACGUGAACGCGCCUACUAGCGUGUACGCGCAUGAGCCAAGAUCGAUCAUUUGUGGACUUUCUUUGCUGGAACACGAACGUAAGUAUAGAUUUAUUGAUUUAUUGCUACAUUCACAGUAAAGAUCGGCCUUUAUGUUUCCAUCAUCAUUUAUGUAUGAUUGUAAUGACGUUGUUUGAUAUUAGGACUAGCAGUAAAACUUUAUAUUCUGUAAAAAAAAGGCUAUUUUAUUUAAAAUGGAAUAGCAAUUUCGGCAGAAUAUUUUAUGGUAGUUAAGUAAAGUUUCUUUGCUGUGUAUUUUCCCAGCGCCGCCUCCCAGAAUGCUUUGCAUGGGGACGUGCGUCUGACGUCACGUAUCCAGAAAAUUCAAAAUGGCUGCACGCGGUAGGUGAGGCUGGAGCGAAGAAAAGUGGAUAAAGAGUGUUAUUCGUCAAAAAACCCACACAACGACGGUCAUUUUUUGGCCGUGCUAUUGUAAAAUUGUCUUUCAUCUGUGUUUUGUGUUCCGGGGCACCCCGACUCCAGAAUUUGAAAGUUUCCCGCGUGAAGCCGUGGCGCUCGAGAUCCUGUUUACUGUGGACUAGCUGUGUGUGACGCCCUGUUGUUUUUGUUUCCAUUAAAAAAAAAAAAGGAACAUGGAGUUGGGAUUUGCAAUCUGAGGCAGAGAAUGAGGAGCUGCCAGAAAAAAGGAACAGCAAGCCAGUGUAAGUGUGUUCAGUCUUGUUUUUGUCAUGUUUCUUGUGGUAAUCUGAUUUAUCCUUGAUCAUUUCUGUUGUUGUCUGCACACCAUGUUCACUCUCUCUCUCGUCCACAGUAUUGAGUGCAGCUGGCGCAAGGCAGCAGCACACACCUAAGAUUGAUUAGGGGUAACCUAUUUAACCUGGUUGCUGACGGCCGAUGGGCGCCGGAACUUUGUCUACUGCUUGCUUCAGACACAGUAGUAUUUAGACUCGCCAGCGGACUCACUAGUUCGUCUUGUGCUUCAUCUCAGGUUUGAUUGUAUUUUUCCAAGCCUUGUCUAGCGCUUUUAUUUUGUACUUUGUUUUUUCAGUAAUACUUCUUUCAUGAAGUAUUUCUCCUAGCCUUGUCUAGCGCUUUUGUUUUUUUUUGUAGGUAUUAAUAUUGGUAGUUUUUACAUGGUGUGUUUGUGUGUGUUGCCACCAUCGCCUUUGGUUUUUUCUAGUGUGUGCUACCUCUUGAAUAAAGAGAAAGACUAUAGACAGCACGCUAAUGUCUCUGCAUCCUUGGGAUCCACCACACCAGAUCGUUACAUUUCUACAGUAAUAGGAAGGUUAUUUCCGGUAGCAUUCAAAAAUAGACCAGAGAUGCUUGUACUAUAUGUAUAUUUGGCAAUUUUGGUAUUGCAAUAAUCCUAAUGAUAUGGUUACCCAACAGCCAUCGUCUCGGGGACUCGGAUGAUAGCGAUAGCACUUUGGACACCCCUGGCCUACACGAAUACAAACAUAGAAUGAUAGUACAAAUAUAAUAAGAAAACAACCUCCCAAAGUUGGGUUAUGGAUAUUUAUUUAUGCCCCCCACCCCCAACCCACCGCCGCCGUCAUCCAACAGAGCCAAACAAGUACUCUGAUCAAGGAACCAAAUAACGAUAUUGUUUGAACAUUUUGGAUGUCUUGCACACCUAUACCCUGAUCACAAAUUCAUAGUUUACGCACCUUAUUUUAACCACCUCCAGUAACUUUAAGUCAUGUUUUUUUUUUCAAAUGUAAUCUCCUUAAUAGCUAUCACAUAUUUUGUAUUGUGUAAGCAUACUUGGCUUUGGAUGCUACAUACCAUAAACAUAAACAUAUCUGUCUUGUAAUCUUGUUUGAUUACAGGUGCUGUGAGUAAAAAUGUGUUGACAAGGUCAGCCACGGACGCUGAGGUCACCAAACACGCCAUCAGGUGGUUCAACUUGGCGGGGGAUCGGGCAACGAGGAGACGAGUCCCGCUUCCACCUCCUCAGGAGGAAUAGAGAUGUAUAUGUAUACAUAAACAACCUUUUAUUGGA